AAGCUAGAGGAUGAAGAACUUGCAUCGUAUAUUCUUGCAGGUCUAGACGAGGAUUAUAAUCCCAUCGUCUCCUCUGUGUCAGCGCGCGUGGAGCCGUUGACCCUCGGCGAAUUGUACACCCAACUGAUAAGUUGGGA
Molecule: small nucleolar RNA, 137 nt
Filed under: Sorghum bicolor (sorghum)
Lineage: Eukaryota; Viridiplantae; Streptophyta; Magnoliopsida; Poales; Poaceae
Description: Small nucleolar RNA Z247
Rfam family: Small nucleolar RNA Z247
About the family: Z247 is a member of the C/D class of snoRNA which contain the C (UGAUGA) and D (CUGA) box motifs. Most of the members of the box C/D family function in directing site-specific 2'-O-methylation of substrate RNAs.
Source: Rfam by way of RNAcentral